Molecule: ribosomal RNA, 481 nt
Filed under: uncultured bacterium
Lineage: Bacteria
Description: bacterial SSU rRNA
Rfam family: Bacterial small subunit ribosomal RNA
Source: RNAcentral
AUUGAACGCUGGCGGCAGGCCUAACACAUGCAAGUCGAGCGCGAAAGCACUUCGGUGUGAGUAAAGCGGCGGACGGGUGAGUAACGCGUAGGAAUCUACCUAGUAGUGGGGGACAACUCGGGGAAACUCGAGCUAAUACCGCAUACGCCCUACCGGGGGAAGCGGGGGACCUUCGGGCCUCGUGCUAUUAGAUGAGCCUGCGUUGGAUUAGCUAGUUGGUGGGGUAAUGGCCUACCAAGGCGACGAUCCAUAGCUGGUCUGAGAGGAUGAUCAGCCACACCGGGACUGAGACACGGCCCGGACUCCUACGGGAGGCAGCAGUGGGGAAUAUUGCGCAAUGGGCGAAAGCCUGACGCAGCCAUGCCGCGUGUGUGAAGAAGGCCUUCGGGUUGUAAAGCACUUUCAAUUGGGAGGAAAGGUUCACGGUUAAUAACCGUGAGCUGUGACGUUACCUUUAGAAGAAGCACCGGCUAACUCCGUG